GAGACGCAGAGCGGGUCGAGGCAGUAGGCGAACUCCCUCAGCCGCGCGGCCUUUCCGAGAAUGGCGGCGUCCAGCUCCCUGAUGAUCCUCUUGGAGCUGGAAGCCGGGCCCUCCACUAGGAGGCAGUGGGAGAUGUUCAGCACCUCCAGGUCCUCCAUCCGGUCGAGGAUGAACAGCAGCGCCUCCCUGGACAGCCUGGAGCAGCGCACGCUCAGCACCUUCAGCCUGGGGAGGUUGGAGUGGAUGCAGGUGGCGAAGUUGACGUCGAAGGAGCCCAUGAUCUUCAGCUGGCUGAAGUUCUUGCAGCUCCGGCUGAUCUCCUCCAUGAUAUACGGAGGUUGCAGGAUGGUGGGCAUCGUCAUCGACUCCAGCUCCUCCCACCUCCUGAUCGCCUGGCAGAUCCCCGUCUUCGUGAUCCGAUUCCAUGCCGGCAGCACCAGCCGCUUCAGACGCGGGCACCUGAAGAUGAACAGGGUUGACCCCCCCCUCAUCAACCAAAAAAAGAAAAAAAAAAAAGAGAAAAAGAGAAGAAGAAAGAGCUAUGAUUAUUAGUGCCUUUCAGCGAUGUAGUUCAGAUGCUCGUCUUUCAUGUAGAGGUCGAAGUGGAAGAUCAUGCAGGAGAUGUUCCCACGGCUGAGGGCCAUGGCGAUCUUCAGCACCCCGGUCAACCUCCGGUCCGACCGGUCGUCAACCCAGACGUAGGGCGAAGCCCGGGUGGGGAUGAAGUUCGACUUCAUCCGCCCCAGGUCGAGGACUCCCCAGAGCAGGGGAUCUGCGCAGGCCAGCCGCCAGGAGCGGCAGACCUGCGACGCCGGCGCCAUCUCGAUCAUGUUGAGCUCCUUGAAGAUCUUCACCAGGGCGUCCAUCUCCAUGUCCUCCCACCUUCUAGAUGUCGGCCUGAUAUCGGCCAUCCUUGCUAGCCCUACAACUAUGCGCCAAAAAUCACAGAGAAUUGCACCCUCAGAGGUCUGCUGCUAGGAAAAUGGCCGCCACAAAAAUAGAAGAGUGAAAAAUGUAGAGAGAGAAACUGUGACCCAACUGGUGGGGUUCGAGAGAAGGCGGGGAAAUAGGCGCGCUUGUCAUAGAGGGAGGAGUUAGAGAAACAACACCUUUCAGAGCAUGGAAUUCCGCCAUUAAUGUAUUGGACAGAAAUGGGUUCCAGAUGUGGUCUGAAAUGCAGGUACUCAAAGCAAGAUCUUCAAGGAGAUAUAGAAACUAAAGGACCACGAUCCGGUUUAUAAACAAAUAUAUGAUUCAUCCUGUCCAGAUCUCGAGAAUGCAACAUCCCAUCAUCUGGGAAGCAGCUUCUUCACUCGGAGAUCAUGAUUUAUACAGAAACGGUAUUGCUAUCCGGAGAGAGAAAAAGAAAAUCUCCUAUUUGCAUCAGCUGGAAUGAUAGACACCACUCAUUUGGAAAACAGUGAUUAGAAAGUUCAAUUAACUAUUCAGGUAGAAAAAAAAAUCAAAUUUGCAUUUCUAGUGACAUCACAGAAUUCAUCAAGACAAGUGAGGAAAGUGUUCCACGAAGACGUGGCUACCUAGAACGCAGGCUAACCUACUAUUUGAGUUUCUUUUUAAAAAGAACAACGCAGACAAUGGAGGGGGAACGAAAAAAAUGAUGAAUUGCGCGAAAAAGAGACAUCAUCAAACUGUCCCUAGUCAAAGAACAGCAAGCAGUAAUUCCGAGGUGCAGUUCUUGCAGAUGCAUUGUCCUGUGACAGUCGUAUCUGAUACGAAUUAAUAGGAUGCAGAAGAUUUACUGGCGUAACAUACUAAAGAGGGCAAAGAAAACGAAAUGCAGUAUCCUAAGCAAUUUCUCCAAAAUAAUAUUCCCCAAGAAAUAUUAGCAUCCAAAGAUAGCAUCACACAUGAAGCCCGCCCAUCCCCCCAAAGAACAAAUAUAAAUCUUCAUCUACCUCUAACUAUAAGGUGACCAGACGCGCUAAUACAUGCUUUGGGAAGGGCAUUUUCCAGGUGAAACGUAUGGUAUCUUCAUUCACCAGAUUACUUCUGGAGUGGAAAUAGGUGAUACCGUGCCUCUUUCUUCAUCACCUAUGCAUCUAAUCCAGCAAUAAUCAAACAUUCCGCACCUUAAUUAUUUAUUCAUUCACAGACUCUAUAUCCUAGGUCACCUAUAAUUCAAGUAAAUGAUCACGAUAGCCAUUACACCGCCUCUAUGAGGAAGUGUCCUCCAAGACAGAGUUCUCCCUCAAAGAGGUUCUCUUAGAUGUAACCUACCUCUUAUACUUCACAUGAACCACCCGACUUCCAACUGCCAGCAGAGUAGCCAACCUCCCUUUGCUUUACAAUUUUACCUAGAAUUGUGUCAUAUUAUCCACAUUUUCUCUCUCAAUGAUCCCAACCAAUUUCCUUAUCUGCUCUUCUUUCUACUUCCUAAGAUACUUUCAGGAUUCACAUCGCAUGCCUGUCAGUCAACAUCUCCAUUAGAGGUUCUAAUGAAAAGUAUUCUAAAUAUGUUCUUCAUUCAUUAGAGCCUAAUCUUCAAUAGUUUCUCUGUCAUGGUGGUUAUCGCACAAUGCAGCAGUGCAAAAAUUUAUUUGCCAUUGAGUGUUGAACAAUGUUACUUUUGAACUUAUAUAUCAUCUGUAAUAUCUUUCCACGAGCUUCCAACUUCCAUACUCUUUUCAAUUGAUGAAUCAUUCAUCGUGCAGCAGCGGCCUAUUAAAAGUUCUUCAGACUCUUUUCCAAAAAGUUCUCAGAUUCAUCAACUUAAAUGCCAGAGAAGGUUUAGGAGGAGCAUGUCUAAUCAGACAAAAUAAAAGUGAAACAUUGCGCAGAACUUAAGGUUUUCAGCCUUCGCAUAGUUCUAGAUUUUUCAACUUUCUCUAGGCCCGGAUACCAUAAAUGAACGCAUAAGGACAAAUAAAAGUUGCCAGUAAUGCGUAAGAAUUCUUUCAGGUAAAAAUAACAUGUAAUCGUUAAUUGUUGUAGGAAGAACUUUACAUUAAAAUUUCUCUACCAUCUUUUCCCAUAUAAAAUGUUGCUGUUCAUUGGAAAAUAAGUCUUGAGAGAGCAUUAAUUUUUUUGGUUAGAUAAUGACCACUGAAAAGCUACAGCAAAAUCACAACUUUUCCUUAUUUACAUACAUGAUCCUAAUUGAAGCUCCGAGCUAAAAAAUAGAAUUGGCAUUUGGCUGGUAUCAUUAAUAAGUCAUUUCGAUGCAUAUAGUCAUUUAAUUUAAAACAGUUCAUUAUAUAUAUAACUUUGCCACGUUCUCCCCUUUUCUGAAACGACUGUAUCAGACAGUUUAGAGAAUCCAUCAAAUACAUAUUAGUUAUCAUGGUCGUCAUCAGAAUCAACCUAUACUUUUGCCGUCAAAAGGCCAAAUUAAAAAUAAUUAGAUGCUAUAACCUAAGUAUCGGACUAAAAUCUUUCGGACACCUUGACUUCGCAAUACCAUUCUACAGUAAACAUGGUUUUCGAAUGUUUUGCAUAAUUCGUGUAAGAAAGAACGUUUUAUCCAGGUGAUCAAGAAAGCAAACAUCUCAAAAAACGAAAGUAAAUAGGAAUAGACGAUUGCAUUACACCUAGGUAAAAGGAGAUAAAAGGAGUACUUUCACUAAAAACUCCAAAAUAAUUUAAUCAUGUUGUGUCAUGUACCCGUGCUCACUAACGUCAUGAGUUGAGGUAACCAACGUGACAAUGAGGUAUAUCGCAUCUGAUAAUCGCGUGACCCAAGGAAAAAAGCGAAGCUUGAUAACCGAUCGUUUUUCCGCCACAAUUAUCAGUGCAAUAACUUUAAUACGUCUGUACUUUGCCUUGUCGUUCUCUUCCGUCGCCAAAUACCGUUUCGGAAAAGUUUAAUCGCCAAAAUCAAUCUUUCUCAUAAGAUUUCCCCGUCAACGACCAUCUCAUUCAAACGACGUGGAGAAAGACAAUAAAACUCGAAGAGGAAAAAGGUAUCAAAGGAACAGAGACGCACACGAUCACGGACAUAAGAAGAAAUCGAACGGGAAAAAACGACCGCUUAUGAAAGAGUAGGAGCGAAAUUCAGCGUUUCCCCUCCACUGAUCACUUCCCUCUCCCUUGCUCUGCCCCUGAAGAACGCCGGGACAAAGGAUCCUCUCCUAUCAGUAACCAAACGCCCUCUUCAGUUUGAGAAAAAAGCAAAAAAAAUCAUAAAGAACAAUUCCCAAACCCCGAUGCCUCGCAUCCAACUAUAUUUUCCUUCCCCCGAUCAAAAACGGCGGGGGAUUUAUCUCAGACCAGUGAAAAUAAUAGAUGCAUGCUCACAUCGAGAGCAAACAGAUGGCAAAACCAAAGAUCGGCACAUCCAAAUCUGCAGCAGAGCGCGGAAUUACCUUUCCACUCCGCUUGUUCCGCCUCCAGCUCUUCUUCAUCCCUCCUCUCACUCCUCCCACCCCCUCGCCCUUCCGCCCCCUAUCGCCACUCCCGCGGGCAGUUUCAUGUCCCAUUUCUUUCCCAUAAAUAGCCACAUUUUCCGGCGUGAAAAAAAAGGGCUCGCACGGAGCGUCUCAGAGGACGUUUUCCAAAACGGAAAGUGCAUAAAUUAUGUGUGAUUUAUCUCGUCAUUUAUGACGUCACUUGAACCCUGCUCACAAUGAUAUAGGGCUGGACCCCGGCUCAGCCCACGGAAAGAAAAUGGCCCUGGCCCACUUAGCCCCAUUGUAAGACGGGUCUGGUCCGUACAUGUUGGGCCCAGUUCACAUGGAUAUAUAUGGGCCCCUUCUGGAAGGAGAGAGUAGAUGAUGACGUCAUAAUUUGUCAACAUAUUCUUAUUCACAGGAAAUGUAGAUAUGUGAUACACCUAUGUUAGCUUAUGCAUUAAUUGAACUUUGGUUGCCAUGCUAGCAUCUCCCAUUUUCUUUGUUUGAGAUUGCUCUCAAAAGUUGGAGUGAGUCUAGUUUUGAGCUUUUAUUCAUAUCACUAAAACUUAUUUUACCAUGAAAAUUUAAAAUAUCCCAUCUAUGUAAAUAUGUUUCUCUAUUUUCAUCUGUACGACCAUUUUUUACUACGACCAAGUUUAUUUCCGAUGGUUUUCGCAUCUGCCCUUGUUGGUGACCAUAGAUACAAUUUCCAUGUGCCAUAAAGUUGUCAAGUUUGUUGGCCUAAGGUGGUAUGCCAACCAUGGAUUGGAAAAGUUUUUCCAAGGCUGUAUAUGAAUUGGGUUAGAUUUCAAUUCAGCUUUAGUUAUUGGUUCAAUACUCCAAUACUCCAACAAGUGAUUUUGUCAUCAUUAAAAUAUGAUGACUUCAAUACUCCAACAAGAAGGCCAUCAUCAAUUCUUGCUCACUAGUUAUUGGUUCAUAUGUGUGACAUCAAAGGCCUAGCCCAUAUAAUUGAUGUAAUUCUAACAUCCUUAAUUGUGACUUCUUCAAUUGACAAUGGAUAGUGGAUAAGGACAUGCAUAAUUUCAACAACCUAGGAUUUCUUUUGAAGGUUUUAAUUGUGUGGCCCUCUUUAUAUUACAAGAUGAGAUCCCUCUAGUGGAUAUGAGUCCACCCCAAGGUAGACAACCAACAUAUCCCUAUGAUGACAUAUCAUUCCCCCAAUGACAGGACGCAAGGUAAUACCUUGAACUUCAAAGGUGACGCCCACUUGGUAAUAAAUUCUUUGAUAAUUUGAGUGCACAUGAAAUUAUGAGUAGCUUCACUGUCUAUUAGGAUGUUGAUUGCUCUGCCCUUCAGCGUAACCUACAACUUUAAUGUUUUGAGUUAGUAUACCCUAAUAAUAGAUUUGAGAGAAACAUAGGUAGUAGUAAAUAACGUACCUUUUUUGUGUUAUUAUAUCAUCAAAAUGUGCCCAAUCUUCCAUGUCUGGCUCCCCUUCUCGUUGAAUUAUUUCGUCUUCAUGGACUAUCAUAAUUUACAAAAAAAAUUUGCAAUAGUAAUCAGACCCAAACUUGUCAUUUCAAUGGAAACACAAUCCGUUCUCUCUCCCUGCAUGUAGUUACAAUUCUAUGAGCAUUAUGUGCAUCUUUGGUCUAAUGGAUUCUAAUUGGGCGGCUGUGGGUGGCUUAUGGAUCUCUAUAGUAUGACCAGUUGCCUUGACUUGCUCAUGAGAGAAAUCUUGGAGCUGGGCUUUGAAGCUGAAAGAAAUCUCUAGUACUGGUUGUAAAGUUGGAACUAGCUCCUAGUACACUCCUGCAACUCAUCCUGCAAGAAGUGUUCCAUGUUGUCCAUAAGGCUGUCAAACAUUUCUCUACAUGGAGACCAGUGUACAUAAUGUCACGUAGUCCUACCAAAUGGUCCCCUAGAUUUCAGAUUAAAUUUCAGGCUUUAAAACUUUGAUGAAAGUCUGCUCCAUAACAAUAUCUUGAAGUGGAGGUAGGUAUACCGAUAACUGCUCAAAUUCUGGUCUAUAUUUACUGACAGUUCCCUCAUACACUAUGUUUAAGAAUUUGUGCAAAAUAUUGUCAAAUAGAGAGUGGCCAGAGCACGUAUCUAUCUGAAUCUUGAAGUUUUGUCAAUCUUUAAAAGAAUAUCGAUCCUCAGUCUAGAUAAAUCAAUGUAACACCAUGCCUUCCAUAUAUGUCAAAACUAAUUUCAACCGCUUUGGAUCCACGAUUUUGUUGAUCCAAAAAUAUCUAUACUUCAGAUCCAACCUUCGACAUCCUCCCCUUUAAAAAUAAGUCACCUUUCUUGAGUGCUUGCUGUUAUCUUGGGGGCUCAUCGUGCCAUAAUAAUAGUUUGAUGCAUAGGGUUGGGGGCCUCUACGCGUCAGCUGGAAGCGGAGGGGCCAGGAUAAGGCACACCGUCAUCAUCAUCAUCAUCCCUACGACUGGCUCUCUUUCCGCAGUCAACCACUGCCUACUCCAGCCACACAGCUUAGUUGUGGAGCGGGUUGGCGCCCUGUGGCGCCCUCCUCGCCGACACCCCAUAUGCCGCGGGCAUCCCACUGCGCUGGCAUGAACGUCUCCCUGCGCCGCCCAGUGCCCUCCAGUCGCCGCCACCUCUCCCACAGUGCCCAAACCAGCGCUCCCCCCACCACCAGCACAAGCACGAAGACCGCCCCCUCCAAUUCAUCACAACUAGAAGACCGCCAGCGAGCGAGAGAGAGCCAGAGAGAGAGAGAGAGAGACCAGCCAAAAGCCCGGCCCCCCGCAAAACCCAUCUUAUUUCCUCUGCAAACAAGAGUGCAACAAAAAAAAAGCCCAGCUGGUGGGUAGGCAUUGACUCGUCGGCUUACAUGCCAGCCGUCGAAAAACUAGCUCACUGCGGUCUCCGGGAUCGUCGGCAGCCCUCGCACCCGCACCAGGCGUCGACUUAUCGGCAGAUCUGGCUGACGCACCAGUCGUCGAAGAGCUUGCCGUGGUCUCCGAGAUCGAGGCAGCUGACCUCGUCCUUGCGCCAGAACCAGUCCUCGUACCUGUACCACCUCAUGCGGCCCUUGUCAACGCUCACCCGCCGGCAGGAGACGCAGAGCGGGUCGAGGCAGUAGGCGAACUCCCUCAGCCGCGCGGCCUUUCCGAGAAUGGCGGCGUCCAGCUCCCUGAUGAUCCUCUUGGAGCUGGAAGCCGGGCCCUCCACUAGGAGGCAGUGGGAGAUGUUCAGCACCUCCAGGUCCUCCAUCCGGUCGAGGAUGAACAGCAGCGCCUCCCUGGACAGCCUGGAGCAGCGCACGCUCAGCGCCUUCAGCCUGGGGAGGUUGGAGUGGAUGCAGGUGGCGAAGUUGACGUCGAAGGAGCCCAUGAUCUUCAGCUGGCUGAAGUUCUUGCAGCUCCGGCUGAUCUCCUCCAUGAUAUACGGAGGUUGCAGGAUGGUGGGCAUCGUCAUCGACUCCAGCUCCUCCCACCUCCUGAUCGCCUGGCAG
Molecule: long non-coding RNA, 7794 nt
Filed under: Spirodela polyrhiza (greater duckweed)
Lineage: Eukaryota; Viridiplantae; Streptophyta; Magnoliopsida; Alismatales; Araceae
Description: long non-coding RNA (SPOL_LNC000957)
Source: RNAcentral